UCCCUACGGGGGGCAGCAGUGAGGAAUAUUGGUCAAUGGGCGCGAGGCUGAACCAGCCAAGUCGCGAGAGGGGAGACGGUCCUAUGGAUUGUAAACCUCUUUUGUCGGGGAGCAAAAGACGCCACGCGUGGCGUUCCGAGAGUACCCGAAGAAAAAGCAUCGGAUAACUCCGUGCCAGCAGCCGCGGAAAUACGGAGGAUGCGAGCGUUAUCCGGAUUUAUUGGGUUUAACGGGUGCGCAGGCGGA
Molecule: ribosomal RNA, 246 nt
Filed under: uncultured bacterium
Lineage: Bacteria
Description: partial 16S ribosomal RNA
Rfam family: Bacterial small subunit ribosomal RNA
Source: RNAcentral